GCAUCUAUUAUCUCUAUCCGUGAAUAUACUGAGCUUAUCCCGGAGUGUCAAUUUAGACACAUCUCUGCCGGACGUUAUCUUCAUCGACUAUCCACUGAAGCAUCUUGACACCACUUCAAUCUAGCGGCCAAAACUAGGAGUUGUGAUUUCCCUGUUUUUGCUUAAGCUUUUUCGAACCAUAGCUAACUGUUCCCCGACACACAUCCAGCUAGCUUCCGAUCUAGAAUUUCAUUCUUACCUGACUUCAAGGGUCCUCGCCAUCCAAGCUUCCCCGUCAUGGAAAGAACCUUGGCUCUGGUUCCAUUUGUCGUUUGUGCCGGCGAAUAGUGAGACUAAGUACCUUUAGUAAUCGUCACAAAAUCUUUUGAUAGUGACUAGUUCUAAAAUACCUGAAUUGUUCGUGGAAGUCUCUUUGACACACCAAGAACUCGCUUGUGGCAUGUUGCUAGCUAGCUUCUGUCUCUGAGAUUUUAUCAUAAAAUUUUUAUGGGUCUAUCCUCAAUGCU
Long non-coding RNA from Arabidopsis thaliana (thale cress), 506 nucleotides. RefSeq annotates it as other RNA. Lineage: Eukaryota; Viridiplantae; Streptophyta; Magnoliopsida; Brassicales; Brassicaceae. The record is from RefSeq. The transcript has a single exon.